Molecule: ribosomal RNA, 465 nt
Filed under: uncultured Clostridium sp.
Lineage: Bacteria; Bacillati; Bacillota; Clostridia; Eubacteriales; Clostridiaceae
Description: bacterial SSU rRNA
Rfam family: Bacterial small subunit ribosomal RNA
Source: RNAcentral
GACGGGGCCGCACAAGCAGCGGAGCAUGUGGUUUAAUUCGAAGCAACGCGAAGAACCUUACCUAGACUUGACAUCUCCUGAAUUACCCGUAACUGGGGAAGCUCUUCGGAGCAGGAAGACAGGUGGUGCAUGGUUGUCGUCAGCUCGUGUCGUGAGAUGUUGGGUUAAGUCCCGCAACGAGCGCAACCCUUAUCGUUAGUUGCUACCAUUAAGUUGAGCACUCUAGCGAGACUGCCCGGGUUAACCGGGAGGAAGGUGGGGAUGACGUCAAAUCAUCAUGCCCCUUAUGUCUAGGGCUACACACGUGCUACAAUGGUGAGGACAAAGAGACGCAAGACCGCGAGGUGGAGCAAAUCUCACAAACCUCAUCCCAGUUCGGAUUGCAGGCUGAAACUCGCCUGCAUGAAGCCGGAGUUGCUAGUAAUCGCGAAUCAGCAUGUCGCGGUGAAUACGUUCCCGGGCCUU